AAACUUUCACAGCACCAGCUGCGAUUCUCAAUGAUGUGGCAGGAGAAGACUUUGACCCAUUUGCUGAACAUCGGAUAUCAACUAUUGCUGAUAGAGAAGAUGAAUACAGAGCAAUGCGUUGGAAGUUGAUUAUUUCCCCAGAACGUGUUGAUUCAUUUGCUGAAGAGUGCCAUAGCAACCAGUUAAGUUAAAAGCUCUUGGAGGUGGAUUAUUCACUUGUGGGCCAGGAGCUGAUCUGCUCAAAUUCCCC
Long non-coding RNA from Daphnia magna, 250 nucleotides. RefSeq lists it as uncharacterized. The transcript is spliced from 3 exons. The record is from RefSeq and is a predicted model, not a curated record. Lineage: Eukaryota; Metazoa; Arthropoda; Branchiopoda; Diplostraca; Daphniidae.